CUUAUCAAGAGCGGCUGAGGGAACAGGCCCUGUGAAGCCCGACAACCUGCAUUUUCUGCAAGGUGCCAAAUCCUGCGGGUAACACCGGAAGAUAAG
RNAcentral lists this non-coding RNA (96 nucleotides) under uncultured Pygmaiobacter sp. RNAcentral's name for it is "SAM riboswitch (S box leader)". It matches the Rfam family "SAM riboswitch aptamer (S box leader)". Rfam says of the family: The SAM riboswitch is found upstream of a number of genes which code for proteins involved in methionine or cysteine biosynthesis in Gram-positive bacteria. The record is from RNAcentral. Lineage: Bacteria; Bacillati; Bacillota; Clostridia; Eubacteriales; Oscillospiraceae.